AGUCCUGAAGGAUGAGUGGUGUCGGCGAAAAGAUGAGACAGGAGUCGUUCCGUUGGAGCAAUCUCCAGAGAGAGAGCUAAUGCAGCUUUCUCUGGGUCAUCUUUUAUUACAAUUUUUCUCAUCAUUAUAGAUUCAGAAUACGUCACUGAUUAUAUAAUUUAAAACUUUGCCAAGACAUGACAUUUCCUUAACCAUGAUUGGGGGUACAAAAAAUGUAACAUUGAUUUACAUUUUUCCAGGAUAUGUCCUUCAGUUAUAUAAUUAUUAAAAGUACAGAAUCAUUAAUAAAAUACGUCACUAAUUUACAUUUUUCAGAUUUUCCCAAGAUUUACUAUUUUUCCCAAGAUAUGUUAUUUUCUUAUUAACUAAUGCCAAACUACAUAACCAGACUCUAAGUCUCCUAACCAAUCAUUAACCUAAAGUACACUUGUACUUUAUUUCUAAUCUAAAAUUCCCAUCUAAAAAAGUCCCUUUAAAUCUUAUAUUUAAAAUAUCCUAAAGUUUAUGAAUCAUUCUUAAAACAUAUCAGAAACCUAUACAACUAAAAACUUAAGAAUUUCUAAACUUAAGAAUCUAAAUAUGGGCUGGGGAUGUGGCUCAAGCGGUAGCGCGCUUGCCUGGCAUGCGUGCGGCCCGGGUUCGAUCCUCAGCACCACAUACAAACA
Molecule: long non-coding RNA, 665 nt
Filed under: Marmota monax (woodchuck)
Lineage: Eukaryota; Metazoa; Chordata; Mammalia; Rodentia; Sciuridae
Source: RNAcentral